CACUCUAUCUCCAUGUCCAUACUCAUGUCACUAUCUGAAAUGGGAUGAAUACAAUCUACCAUGUAAAGUUCUUUGGAAGAAUUGAAAGAAAUUAUGUCUGAGACAGCUGGACUGAGGCAACACCUUACAAAGCUGAGCCUGCCAAGGUAAACUGUGGCUCUGUCUUUGCAGGACUCUCUGCCUGGCUUUUUAGCCACAUAAAAUGCACCAUGGAGCAUUUUUUCCUGAAGAAGAGCCCACGGGGGAACUGAGGUGCAGAACUCAUUGUCCUUAUCAUCUGAGACGAUGUAGCUACAUUGUCAGGAGGAACAUCCUACAAGUUGGUUUCGCACCUCCCAGGCUCUGGCAUGUGGGAGAACACAGCGCCGGGACUGAGGAAACAGUAAGGCACACUUAAAGGGACUGAAGUAAAAACUUGAGCUGUCU
Mirounga angustirostris (Northern elephant seal) is the source of this 426-nucleotide long non-coding RNA. RefSeq lists it as uncharacterized. NCBI's taxonomy places the organism in Eukaryota, Metazoa, Chordata, Mammalia, Carnivora, Phocidae. The record is from RefSeq and is a predicted model, not a curated record. The transcript is spliced from 2 exons.